AUUGAACGCUGGCGGCAUGCUUUACACAUGCAAGUCGAACGGUAACAGGCCUUCGGGUGCUGACGAGUGGCGAACGGGUGAGUAAUGCAUCGGAACGUGCCCAGAGGUGGGGGAUAACGCAGCGAAAGCUGUGCUAAUACCGCAUGUGAUCUGAGGAUGAAAGCGGGGGACCCAGCAGCAAUGUUUGGCCUCGCGCCUCUGGAGCGGCCGAUGUCAGAUUAGGUAGUUGGUGGGGUAAAGGCCUACCAAGCCGACGAUCUGUAGCUGGUCUGAGAGGACGACCAGCCACACUGGGACUGAGACACGGCCCAGACUCCUACGGGAGGCAGCAGUGGGGAAUUUUGGACAAUGGGCGCAAGCCUGAUCCAGCAAUGCCGCGUGCGGGAAGAAGGCCUUCGGGUUGUAAACCGCUUUUGUACGGAACGAAAAGGCUCUGGCUAAUACCUGGGGCUGAUGACGGUACCGUAAGAAUAAGCACCGGCUAACUACGUA
RNAcentral lists this ribosomal RNA (492 nucleotides) under uncultured bacterium. RNAcentral's name for it is "partial 16S ribosomal RNA". It matches the Rfam family "Bacterial small subunit ribosomal RNA", at positions 30 to 507 of the family's 1533-position model. The record is from RNAcentral.